GACGAACGCUGGCGGCGUGCCUAAUACAUGCCAGUAGAACGCACAGUUUAUACCGUAGCUUGCUACACCAUAGACUGUGAGUUGCGAACGGGUGAGUAACGCGUAGGUAACCUGCCUGGUAGCGGGGGAUAACUAUUGGAAACGAUAGCUAAUACCGCAUAAUAUUGAUUAUUGCAUGAUAAUUAAUUGAAAGGUGCAAUUGCACCACUACCAGAUGGACCUGCGUUGUAUUAGCUAGUAGGUGAGGUAACGGCUCACCUAGGCGACGAUACAUAGCCGACCUGGGAGGGUGAACGGCCACACUGGGACUGAGACACGGCCCAGACUCCUACGGGAGGCAGCAGUAGGGAAUCUUCGGCAAUGGACGAAAGUCUGACCGAGCAACGCCGCGUGAGGGAAGAAGGUUUUCGGAUCGUAAAGCUCUGUUGUAAGAGAAGAACGGGUGUGAGAGUGGAAAGUUCACACUGUGACGGUAUCUUACCAGAAAGGGACGGCUAACUACGUG
Molecule: ribosomal RNA, 505 nt
Filed under: uncultured bacterium
Lineage: Bacteria
Description: partial 16S ribosomal RNA
Rfam family: Bacterial small subunit ribosomal RNA
Source: RNAcentral